AUUGAACGCUGGCGGCAGGCCUAACACAUGCAAGUCGAGCGGAUGAAGGGAGCUUGCUCCUGGAUUCAGCGGCGGACGGGUGAGUAAUGCCUAGGAAUCUGCCUGUUAGUGGGGGAUAACGUCCGGAAACGGGCGCUAAUACCGCAUACGUCCUGAGGGAGAAAGUGGGGGAUCUUCGGACCUCACGCUAUCAGAUGAGCCUAGGUCGGAUUAGCUAGUUGGUGGGGUAAAGGCCUACCAAGGCGACGAUCCGUAACUGGGCUGAGAGGAUGAUCAGUCACACUGGAACUGAGACACGGUCCAGACUCCUACGGGAGGCAGCAGUGGGGAAUAUUGGACGAUGGGCGAAAGCCUGAUCCAGCCAUGCAGCGUGUGUGAAGAAGGUCUUCGGAUUGUAUAGCACUUUAAGUUGGGAGGAAGGGCAGUAAGUUAGUACCUUGCUGUUUUGACGUUACCAACAGAAUAAGCACCGGCUAACUUCGUG
This 484-nucleotide ribosomal RNA is filed under the name uncultured bacterium. Its description in RNAcentral is "partial 16S ribosomal RNA". It matches the Rfam family "Bacterial small subunit ribosomal RNA", at positions 30 to 507 of the family's 1533-position model. The record is from RNAcentral.